Molecule: unclassified non-coding RNA, 257 nt
Filed under: uncultured Pseudomonadota bacterium
Lineage: Bacteria; Pseudomonadati; Pseudomonadota
Description: uncultured proteobacterium partial 16S-23S ribosomal RNA intergenic spacer
Source: RNAcentral
UUGCGGCUGGAUCACCUCCUUUCUAAGGAUGAUCCUUCAGAGAGCUCACGCUCGCUAUCGGAUCGUUUUAGAAACAUUCAGGGGCCAUCGAUCGCAGGAUCUGAUGAGCUCCAUUGGCGGGAUUUCGCCGUCUUCGUUUCUCUUUCUUCGCGGACGAACACGCGCCAGGGGCUGAGCGCUUGUGCGAUUGCUCCGGUGCGAGAUGCCGGGUCGUGCAUGCAAUGCUCCAAUCCUUACAACAAGGAUAAGCGUCAGGG